UGGCGGUCUCAGGCAAUUACUCAUUAUGAUUAGUUCUAUGCUGGGCCUGGCCCAAUCACAUACACAGCAGAGGGCCGAGGUCCCGCCCUUGGGUCUCGGCUGUCAAUCAGUCACGUCACGUCACUUAUUGACACUGACAGAAAAAUGGAGAAAAAACGGAAAGGAGGCGCGGAGAAAGUCCGAGAUAAAAAGAGAAAAGCCCUAGAGGCAAACUCUGCAACAUGUGCUAAAAUAUCGGACAUGUUUGCCGCGACAGCUGGCCCGGCUUCAUUAGCACCUGCUUCGGUGGAAAUUGCGACGGCGGAGGCUGAGGAGGAUGACGGUGAUGAUGUGGACGGAGAGGUGACUGAAUGGAGGCCGAGGCCAAGUGCAGAGAUGGGUGGCGCUGGCGGCGGCCCGGCCCCGGGGCCGAGCUCAGCCUCAGACGAAGUGGCGGCGGUAAUUUUUGGAGUGAAGGAUUGCCUUCCCAUGAUGUGGAGUUCACGUGUGUUCUUUUUGUUUCAUUGUGAGUUUACUAAAUAGCUCUUAUUUUAAUUAUAGAAUAGACAGUAUCAGAUGAAUCUAUCAUAUCUGACUGCUCCUUUCUGUCUCCCUCAGAGCACCAAGGUCCAUGCAGCCUUUUGUCUCAGCAUAUGUAAGUACAAAAUUAGCUAUUAUCUCUCUGUUCACCUAAAGAUUAUUUAAACUAUACCUUAACUGAUCCCUGCUCUUUCUUUCCUUUGUCUGCCUCUCUCUCUCUCUCUCUCUCUCUCUCUCUCUCUCUCUCUCUCUCUCUCUCUCUCUCUCUCUCUCUCUCUCUCUCUCUCUCUCUCUCUCUCUCUCUCUCAUACUUUAGGGUGCCACUUUUACUUACUGUGUUAUAAUUUGGUGUGUUCUAGUUAGUGUAAAUAAGAUAAUACAUAUAUUGUGUAUACUUCCUGUUGUUGUUGUUGUUGUUCUCUGUUCUAGCAUUUUCUGCUGACUGUGAGACGGUUCAAACUGUACAUAUUAUAAGCAUUAGUCAUUUCAGAGGAGAUUUGACCUAGCUGCAAAACCUCCAUUGUGCCCAAAUACAAAUGCAGAACCCUCUCUUCUUCAAACUCCUGUAAUCUGCCUUGUUUUUUUGAGUGUAAACGUUUUGUAAGCGUCUAAUCACGAGGAUCUGAUAGUUUUUUUAAUCUCCACUCCUGUUUUUACAUGUGGCCAUUGAAAGAACAAAAGGUUAUUUUGGGCUAUUAUAUAAAAGAUUAAAAUUAUGAUCGUACCUAAUUGUUUAAUUUCUAUUUUUAUAAACAAUGUACACGUUUGUAUAAACAGUAUUUUCAUUAAACACUGAAAAGACAUCUCUAGCAAUGUUUCUUUGACAACCACUUUCACUUCAAGAUGGGUAUUGUGGCAUUGUAGCCAUCUCUCCAAAGAUGAAAGUCUCUGUAAGUAUAGUGAAAGAGUGUAUGCAUUUUUCAACAUGGUUACUCUUAUCCAUGUAGGCUACUGCGCUUUAUUUUAAUUGUUGAAACAGCACAAUAUGCGCAUAUAUCCUCUGGUAUGUUGUGUGCCUCCGCAUAUCGUAUAAAUAAUCAUGGUGGGCUGCCAUGGCCAAAAAUGCCAGGGCCGAUUUCUUGUCCCAGUCCAGCCCUGCUACUACGCCUGCAUGAAUGUGAUGUGAUUAUUAUUGUUGCAAAGCCUGGUUCAGCUUAAAUCCUCUGUAAAACAUGAAUGAAUACAGCAAAAGAAAAAUAUUUUAACUUUCUUUUAGUGUCUAGUGUGAUAGUCAGACACAACUGAAAAAAAACAGAUAUAAAUCUAUGAAUAAAUAACAAUUUAUAAAAAAAGCCACAGUG
This 1820-nucleotide long non-coding RNA is filed under the name Gadus morhua (Atlantic cod). RNAcentral describes it as "lncRNA (ENSGMOG00000024605.1)". The record is from RNAcentral. Lineage: Eukaryota; Metazoa; Chordata; Actinopteri; Gadiformes; Gadidae.